CGGCUGUUGGCUCAGUUGGUAGAGCAGUUGACUUUUAAUCAAUUGGUCGCAGGUUCGAAUCCUGCACGACCCACCA
This 76-nucleotide transfer RNA is filed under the name Klebsiella aerogenes. RNAcentral describes it as "tRNA-Lys". It matches the Rfam family "tRNA". From Rfam's summary of the family: Transfer RNA (tRNA) molecules are approximately 80 nucleotides in length. Their secondary structure includes four short double-helical elements and three loops (D, anti-codon, and T loops). Further hydrogen bonds mediate the characteristic L-shaped molecular structure. tRNAs have two regions of fundamental functional importance: the anti-codon, which is responsible for specific mRNA codon recognition, and the 3' end, to which the tRNAs corresponding amino acid is attached (by aminoacyl-tRNA synthetases). tRNAs cope with the degeneracy of the genetic code in two manners: having more than one tRNA (with a specific anti-codon) for a particular amino acid; and 'wobble' base-pairing, i.e. permitting non-standard base-pairing at the 3rd anti-codon position. The record is from RNAcentral. Lineage: Bacteria; Pseudomonadati; Pseudomonadota; Gammaproteobacteria; Enterobacterales; Enterobacteriaceae.